RNAcentral lists this ribosomal RNA (443 nucleotides) under uncultured bacterium. RNAcentral's name for it is "partial 16S ribosomal RNA". It matches the Rfam family "Bacterial small subunit ribosomal RNA", at positions 338 to 795 of the family's 1533-position model. The record is from RNAcentral.
CCUACGGGGGGCAGCAGUGGGGAAUAUUGGGCAAUGGGCGCAAGCCUGACCCAGCAACGCCGCGUGAAGGAAGAAGGCUUUCGGGUUGUAAACUUCUUUUGUCAGGGACGUAGCAAGUGACGGUACCUGACGAAUAAGCCACGGCUAACUACGUGCAAGCAGCCGCGGUAAUACGUAGGUGGCAAGCGUUAUCCGGAUUUACUGGGUGUAAAGGGCGUGUAGGUGGGAUGGCAAGUCAGAUGUGAAAACCAGGGGCUCAACCUGUGGCCUGCAUUUGAAACUGUAGUUCUUGAGUACUGGAGAGGCAGACGGAAUUCGUAGUGUAGCGGUGAAAUGCGUAGAUAUUAGGAGGAACACCGGUGGCGAAGGCAGUCUGCUGGACAGCAACUGACGCUGAGGCGCGAAAGCGUGGGGAGCAAACAGGAUUAGAUACCCGGGUAGUC